GGAUUUACUGGGGCGGAAAAGGAUGCGUAGGCGGAUAUUUAAGUGGGGAUGUGAAAUCCCCGAGCUUAACUCGGGGGCUGCAUUCCAAACUGGAUAUCUAGAGUGUCGGAGGGGAAGUGGAAUUCCUAGUGUAGCGGUGAAAUGCAUAAGAUUAAGAAGAACAGAAGUGGCAAAGGCGACUUUCUGGACGAAACUGAAAAGAGGCAUGAAAGCGAGGGAGAAACAGGAU
Molecule: ribosomal RNA, 229 nt
Filed under: Clostridium sp.
Lineage: Bacteria; Bacillati; Bacillota; Clostridia; Eubacteriales; Clostridiaceae
Description: partial 16S ribosomal RNA
Rfam family: Bacterial small subunit ribosomal RNA
Source: RNAcentral